UCCAGGUUAUCCCUGGCGGUCUCCUGAGAGUGCAUCCUUGCGGAUUAGCAACACAGGACAAGGGUUGCGCUCGUUGCGGGACUUAACCCAACAUCUCACGACACGAGCUGACGACAGCCAUGCAGCACCUGUGUUACGGCUCCCUUUCGGGCACCCCCGCCUCUCAGCAGGGUUCCGUACAUGUCAAGGGUAGGUAAGGUUUUUCGCGUUGCAUCGAAUUAAUCCACAUCAUCCACCGCUUGUGCGGGUCCCCGUCAAUUCCUUUGAGUUUUAAUCUUGCGACCGUACUCCCCAGGCGGUCGACUUCACGCGUUAGCUGCGUUACCAAGUCAAUUAAGACCCGACAACUAGUCGACAUCGUUUAGAGCGUGGACUAC
This 377-nucleotide unclassified non-coding RNA is filed under the name uncultured Gammaproteobacteria bacterium. Its description in RNAcentral is "contains 16S-23S intergenic spacer region". Lineage: Bacteria; Pseudomonadati; Pseudomonadota; Gammaproteobacteria. The record is from RNAcentral.